AUCACUUGUCCUUUAAUAAGGACUAGUAUGAACGGCUUCACGAAGGCUAUACUGUCUCCUUAGUCUAAUCAAUUAAACUAAUCUCCCCGUGAAGAAGCGGGGAUUCAUUUAUAAGACGAGAAGACCCUAUGGAGCUUUAAACAUCUAAGACACUUGAUUACACCUACUAAACUUCAUGCAACCUAUCAUUUUGUCUUAAGUUUUAGGUUGGGGUGACCACGGAGAAAAAUUGAACCUCCACGUAGAAAGAAAAUUCUUUUCUAAGCAAAAAGCCACAUCUUAACGCAUCAAUAUAUUGACUUAAAUUGACCCAAUUUCUUGCUCAACGAACCAAGUUACCCUAGGGAUAACAGCGCAAUCCGCUUUAAGAGCUCCUAUCGACAAGCGGGCUUACGACCUCGAUGUUGGAUCAGGGCAUCG
This 420-nucleotide ribosomal RNA is filed under the name Allobates femoralis (brilliant-thighed poison frog). RNAcentral's name for it is "partial 16S ribosomal RNA". It matches the Rfam family "Bacterial large subunit ribosomal RNA", at positions 1964 to 2547 of the family's 2925-position model. Lineage: Eukaryota; Metazoa; Chordata; Amphibia; Anura; Aromobatidae. The record is from RNAcentral.